AACAAGUGGGAGGGGUGUCUCGUGUGUGGGGGGGAAGCAAGGGCGUACGGGUGGGAGCCCCAGCCAGGGUGAGAGAGGCUCUACCCACGCUGGGGUUGGUGAGGAUGGGGACCCUAGCUAACUGCCAGAGGGAAUCAUGGCGUUUCUCCUCAGUCUGUCUACUGUCUUGGGAGGGCAGAGUUGUUGCUUUCGUGGUAAAAGGUGAUUUAAAUUCAGAUUAAUUCAGUUUGUUUUAGCUCCUAGGCAGAUCUGCGUGUGGGUGGUGGUCCAUACAGUGGAAGGUUUUGUCUGUUGCUUUUGAGCUGCUAAAAGAGAUAAGGAGAGAGGAAAGCCAUUAUUGUGGGAAAGCCCCUUUCUGUGCUAAUAGCUUCCCCUCCAAGAUUAUCCCUUCCCAGGAAAGAGAGGCUCACCCUCUGUCUAGAAACAGCCUGCUCUGGUCUGCUGUUCCUUUCCUGUCCCUGCUGUCUGUUCUGAGCUACCAGUUCCUCCAGGGUAUGGGGGAGGAGGUGUUUGACCUGCAUUUUCUGCUUUCUCAUGGUGCCUGUAUAGUCUGUUCACUAAUAAACCUCUCCUUUUCUUGCCUUGUGCUGGAGGCUGCAGCAGGGAUUUUCCUGCAUUUGGUUGUAUGUCCUGUGUUUCCUGCUGUGUGGAUUCCGAGCCUCCCAACCUGGCUGUUUAGGCUCAGGACCGAACUAAAACACAGUUCCUGUUUUUAAUACCAUACAGCUGUGACAAGGUCACCUGUGUCUCCAGCAGCAUCGUCCUUGGAUGCCAAUGGCCUACUGUUCAAACAGAGGUCCUUUGUUGUAUGUCAUAUGUCUUGUAAAAUGUUGGGCUAAGCUGGAAAGUGACUGGGAAAAACUUCACAUUCCUUAUUCCUGAUCCUGACAGAAGGAAGGAACUUAGAUGUGGUUUGAUUCUCUACUAAAAUGGGAUUUUCAACAGGCAGCAGAUGGUCUGUUUUGCAAAGAGGUACUGGGAUUUUAUUGUAUAGUGAUUAAAAUAUGCCAUUGGGAUUCUUCCAGCUUUCGGCGGAGGCUAGUUCUGCUUUAAGGAAGUAAUAGCUCUUUGCAGGCCUUUCAGUGGCCUCCUGCAAUCUCUCUGGCCCAUUAUGUAAUUGGACUGUUUAAGGUUCACUCAGGCAGAGGUUAUGGGCAAGGGAGAGGGAAUUAAUAUCUGUGGGGGAGGGGAUUAUGGCUGCAAGUCAUUAUUUUGGUAACAUUUUUAAAAAAAAAAUCCAAAUGGACACACUGCAGGUGCUUCUGUUAAAAAGCAAAAUAUAAGGUUAGAUAAAGAGUUCAGUAUUUCCUUAAGAGGGAGUAGAAGUUUCCCUUUUUCACCUAUGAAGGAGGCACUAGGAAUUUUUCUGUAACUGGCCCAGGAAGUCAUUUUGUUCCCAGCCUUCUGGUUUGAAGCACAGAGGUGAAGGAAGGCAGGAGGGUGUUGCUUUGGAUCCUGUGGGUAAGUGUUCAAGGCAGUGACAGCAGCUGCAUUUGGCUCCAGAGCUCUGGUUGCUACGUGAGAAGCUUUAGUAGUGUUGGCUGCUGUCUCCAGGGAAGGACAGUAGAGCAGCCUCCAUUAGUGCUGUGUUUAGGAGAUGGCUGGUUCCUGCUCAGAGAAAGGUUUUCACUUUUAUAUUUCCACAGCUUUGAGGCAGACGUGUGUAAAUCUUACUCCAGUUCGAUAAACCUGUAUGCUGUAUUUAAUUGCACUAGGAUGUGGCUGGAAACCCCGAGCUGGCCUUUUGUUUUCAUUCUGCCCAAAACUAGUUUACACUGUUGCUGAAGCUGUACUGGUCUUAGGAUAUGAGAGACACUAGGUGUAUGAAGCAAUAUCUUUUAUUUCACCAUUAGAAGUUGGUCUGAUAAGAGCCAAGCUUUUGUGCUCCACAGAAUUGAGAAGUUCUGUGAAGCUUGCAACUUGUCUAGUAAAAGGCAUUACCUCACCCCUCUUGUCUUUUUGUGCAGAAUUAGGACAGUAAGACUUGUUAUGAUUUUCCUAGAGCAAGAGAGGCAGUUGCAAUCUCAGACCUGGGACUGCAGUCUACCUCUGAAUGGAGUCUCCUUUCCAGUUAGUCAUACAGCCAGAUGCUUUCCUUAUUGUUCCUAUGUCUCCUUCCUCCCCUUCCAUCGGCUGGGCCCCAUUUGCCUUACUGACUGGAAUUUCUGCUGUGUGCAGUGAGCUGCCUACACCAGCCUGCUAGUGCUAAGAGGGAAUUUUUCAUUCACAGAGUAUAGAACAGUCAAAAUAGUGGCCCAGCUCAACUUGCAAC
This is a non-coding RNA of Pelodiscus sinensis (Chinese soft-shelled turtle), 2272 nucleotides long. The record is from RefSeq and is a predicted model, not a curated record. NCBI's taxonomy places the organism in Eukaryota, Metazoa, Chordata, Testudines, Trionychidae.